AGAGCGAACGCUGGCGGCAGGCCUAAUACAUGCAAGUCGAACGCACCUUCGGGUGAGUGGCGGACGGGUGAGUAACACGUGGGAACGUGCCUUUUGGUUCGGAAUAAUCCGGGGAAACCUGGCCUAAUACCGGAUGUGCCCUUCGGGGGAAAGAUUUAUCGCCAUUAGAGCGGCCCGCGUCUGAUUAGCUUGUUGGUGGGGUAAUGGCCCACCAAGGCUACGAUCAGUAGCUGGUCUGAGAGGAUGAUCAGCCACACUGGGACUGAGACACGGCCCAGACUCCUACGGGAGGCAGCAGCAGGGAAUCUUGCGCAAUGGGCGAAAGCCUGACGCAGCCAUGCCGCGUGAAUGAUGAAGGUCUUAGGAUUGUAAAAUUCUUUCAGCGGGAAGAUAAUGACUGUACCCGCAGAAGAAGCUCCGGCUAACUUCGUGCCAGCAGCCGC
Molecule: ribosomal RNA, 443 nt
Filed under: uncultured bacterium
Lineage: Bacteria
Description: SSU rRNA
Rfam family: Bacterial small subunit ribosomal RNA
Source: RNAcentral